Molecule: ribosomal RNA, 253 nt
Filed under: uncultured bacterium
Lineage: Bacteria
Description: partial 16S ribosomal RNA
Rfam family: Bacterial small subunit ribosomal RNA
Source: RNAcentral
UACAGAGGGUGCAAGCGUUGUUCGGAAUUAUUGGGCGUAAAGCGCGUGUAGGCGGUAUGGCAAGUCGGGUGUGAAAGCCCUCAGCUUAACUGAGGAAGUGCGCCCGAAACUGCAGAGCUUGAAUACCGGAGAGGAUGGCGGAAUUCCCCAAGUAGAGGUGAAAUUCGUAGAUAUGGGGAGGAACACCGGUGGCGAAGGCGGCCAUCUGGACGGCUAUUGACGCUGAGACGCGAAAGCGUGGGGAGCAAACAGG